Molecule: ribosomal RNA, 460 nt
Filed under: uncultured bacterium
Lineage: Bacteria
Description: partial 16S ribosomal RNA
Rfam family: Bacterial small subunit ribosomal RNA
Source: RNAcentral
CCUACGGGCGGCAGCAGUGAGGAAUAUUGGUCAAUGGACGCAAGUCUGAACCAGCCAUGCCGCGUGCAGGAUGACGGCUCUAUGAGUUGUAAACUGCUUUUGUACGAGGGUAAACCCCGAUACGUGUAUCGGGUUGAAAGUAUCGUACGAAUAAGGAUCGGCUAACUCCGUGCCAGCAGCCGCGGUAAUACGGAGGAUCCGAGCGUUAUCCGGAUUUAUUGGGUUUAAAGGGUGCGUAGGCGGUUUGAUAAGUUAGAGGUGAAAUGUCGGGGCUCAACCCCGAAACUGCCUCUAAUACUGUUAGACUAGAGAGUAGUUGCGGUAGGCGGAAUGCGUGGUGUAGCGGUGAAAUGCUUAGAGAUCAUACAGAACACCGAUUGCGAAGGCAGCUUACUAAACUAUAUCUGACGUUGAGGCACGAAAGCGUGGGUAGCAAACAGGAUUAGAUACCCUAGUAGUC